Molecule: long non-coding RNA, 1497 nt
Organism: Papaver somniferum (opium poppy)
Lineage: Eukaryota; Viridiplantae; Streptophyta; Magnoliopsida; Ranunculales; Papaveraceae
Exons: 3
Source: RefSeq, a predicted model, not a curated record
GAAAUGGAUGGGUUCAUCCAUUUGCCUUCCAAGUUUAGUGGAAAUAAAGCUUUGGUAUUGCAAUAAAUGGGAGAAGCUACCAGCACUCGGUCUGCUACCAUGUCUUAAGUUUCUUGAGAUUGAAGUAAUGAGGUCAGUAAAAUGUUUGGGUGAAGAGUUUUAUUACCAGCAACAAGAAGAAGGAAGAAUCAGCAACAUCAGUAGAAAUGGUAUUGGUAGUAGUGCUGCAAGUCCUACUACAGGAUCAUUAUUUCCGUCGUUAAUCGUGUUGCAGAUCUGCAAAAUGGAAAAUCUAGAAGAAUGGGUUGCUCCUCCUCUUCAAAUUUACAAUUCUUUUCCUUUUCUUGAGAAUCUAGAAAUCAAGAGAUGCCCAAAACUUAGAAGCACACCAAACUCAUUUCCAUUUAUUAAGAAUUUGGUAUUAUCCGACACCAACAGCAAGGUAGUAGCCUCAAUCUUAUCUACAGGAGGACUUACCUAUCUCACAUCCAUCGAUAUAUCAUAUUCUCCAGAGCUACGAUAUCUCCCACUGGGCGUACUUCUCCAAAAUAUUACUCCCAAUCUCGAAGAACUAUCUAUCUAUGGUUGCUCUAAGUUUCAAGGUUUUCUUCAAGAUAAUGAUCUAAACAACUACAACAACGGUUGUCAGGGUGAUGGUGAUGUCGAAACAAUAUUAUAUGUUUCAUGUCCUGGAAUCAACUCCAACUACAACAAUAGCAGCAAGUCUCUCCGCUCAAUAUAUUUCAAUGAUUGUCCUGCUUUAACGUUACUCCCGGAUAUUUCGAUCGUUUACUUCUCUCCAGAAAUUAGUAAUCUUCAAGUGUGAUAAAUUGAAGGAGUCCAUAUCUUACGAUCUCAAGACACUUACCUUUCUUAAAGAGCUGAAAUUUGAUUUUAUUCAAAGCGAAUAUCCAGCUUAUAAAUCAUUACUUACCACCAGCAUGUACAGAUGGAAUGAGGAUUGAAUGAAGGUCUCAAGAACAAGUAAUUGAUAAAUAUACCAGGAGAUGAAGAAAAGGUAUACACGGUACUACGUUGUUUUAACUUCCAGUAUUAUGAAUCAGCUUCAUUCGAAUGGGUAUGGAGAUGCCUGAAUGCUACAAUGAAGAGGCAGCUAGUUUAAACAAAGAUCAGUGGCAACACAUCCUCAUACUUAUGUCUAUCUUUGGUUUGGAUCUAAACAAAGCAUUUGCAUUAAUAAAGAGGCUCCAAUAUUCGGGUGAUAGUGGCGUAAAUAUGAAGGUCAGAUCCAAGACCCUAAGAGUUGCCAAAAGAGAAUUGUAUCACCAGUUGAAGAGCAGAUCUGAGUUCUUGUCGCAUUGGUCCUUUUAUAGGUGACAUCUGAGAGUCCAAGUAAUCGACUUUGUAAUAAUUUCCAGGGGUUUUUUCGACUUCCCUUUGCCUCUGCAAAUGACUGGUGGUGGUUGUGGUGCCAACUUAGUUGGGAUCACAGUUCGGUGAAUGUAAUCUUACAGGUUAAUGUAUGUGGAAUUUUGU